This 377-nucleotide ribosomal RNA is filed under the name uncultured eukaryote. RNAcentral describes it as "partial 18S ribosomal RNA". It matches the Rfam family "Eukaryotic small subunit ribosomal RNA", at positions 592 to 976 of the family's 1831-position model. The record is from RNAcentral.
CAAUAGCGUAUAUUUAAGUUGCUGCAGUUAAAAAGCUCGUAGUUGGAUUUCGGGUGGGAAUGGCCUGUCCGCCGUUUCGGUGUGCACUUGCUACGCCCACCUUGCUGCCGGGGACGUGCUCUUGAGUUCACGCUCGGGACACGGAGUCGGCGAGGUUACUUUGAGUAAAUUAGAGUGUUCAAAGCAGGCCUACGCUCUGAAUACAUUAGCAUGGAAUAACACGAUAGGACUCUGGCCUAUCUUGUUGGUCUGUAGGACCGGAGUAAUGAUUAAGAGGGACAGUCGGGGGCAUUCGUAUUUCAUUGUCAGAGGUGAAAUUCUUGGAUUUAUGAAAGACGAACUACUGCGAAAGCAUUUGCCAAGGAUGUUUUCAUUAA